CCUCCAUCAUCCUCCAUCGAUGAAAUCUUUGAUAACUUGGAGGUAUAAGCAGAAAUAUUGGCACUUUCAUCAUGACCAUGGUCAUGACACAGAAAUGUGCUUCCAACUGAAAGAUGAGAUUAAGACUCUCAUCUGAAGACGGUACCUCAAAAAAUAUUUUUGAGAGCACCAGAACUAAGCACCAAAGGAGCCAUCUUGGCAUCAGAUCGAUAAGGACAACAAUAAUAACCGACCAAUAGCUUGUGUGAUCAACAUGAUCUCGAGCCUUGGAGUGGC
This 276-nucleotide long non-coding RNA is filed under the name Elaeis guineensis (African oil palm). RNAcentral's name for it is "long non-coding RNA (EGUI_LNC046820)". Lineage: Eukaryota; Viridiplantae; Streptophyta; Magnoliopsida; Arecales; Arecaceae. The record is from RNAcentral.